This 1515-nucleotide ribosomal RNA is filed under the name uncultured Microbacterium sp. RNAcentral describes it as "bacterial SSU rRNA". It matches the Rfam family "Bacterial small subunit ribosomal RNA". Lineage: Bacteria; Bacillati; Actinomycetota; Actinomycetes; Micrococcales; Microbacteriaceae. The record is from RNAcentral.
AGAGUUUGAUCCUGGCUCAGGAUGAACGCUGGCGGCGUGCUUAACACAUGCAAGUCGAACGGUGAAGCCAAGCUUGCUUGGUGGAUCAGUGGCGAACGGGUGAGUAACACGUGAGCAACCUGCCCUGGACUCUGGGAUAAGCGCUGGAAACGGCGUCUAAUACUGGAUAUGAGCUCCUUCCGCAUGGUGGGGGUUGGAAAGAUUUUUCGGUCUGGGAUGGGCUCGCGGCCUAUCAGCUUGUUGGUGAGGUAAUGGCUCACCAAGGCGUCGACGGGUAGCCGGCCUGAGAGGGUGACCGGCCACACUGGGACUGAGACACGGCCCAGACUCCUACGGGAGGCAGCAGUGGGGAAUAUUGCACAAUGGGCGGAAGCCUGAUGCAGCAACGCCGCGUGAGGGAUGACGGCCUUCGGGUUGUAAACCUCUUUUAGCAGGGAAGAAGCGAGAGUGACGGUACCUGCAGAAAAAGCGCCGGCUAACUACGUGCCAGCAGCCGCGGUAAUACGUAGGGCGCAAGCGUUAUCCGGAAUUAUUGGGCGUAAAGAGCUCGUAGGCGGUUUGUCGCGUCUGCUGUGAAAUCCCGAGGCUCAACCUCGGGCCUGCAGUGGGUACGGGCAGACUAGAGUGCGGUAGGGGAGAUUGGAAUUCCUGGUGUAGCGGUGGAAUGCGCAGAUAUCAGGAGGAACACCGAUGGCGAAGGCAGAUCUCUGGGCCGUAACUGACGCUGAGGAGCGAAAGGGUGGGGAGCAAACAGGCUUAGAUACCCUGGUAGUCCACCCCGUAAACGUUGGGAACUAGUUGUGGGGACCAUUCCACGGUUUCCGUGACGCAGCUAACGCAUUAAGUUCCCCGCCUGGGGAGUACGGCCGCAAGGCUAAAACUCAAAGGAAUUGACGGGGACCCGCACAAGCGGCGGAGCAUGCGGAUUAAUUCGAUGCAACGCGAAGAACCUUACCAAGGCUUGACAUACACCAGAACACCGUAGAAAUACGGGACUCUUUGGACACUGGUGAACAGGUGGUGCAUGGUUGUCGUCAGCUCGUGUCGUGAGAUGUUGGGUUAAGUCCCGCAACGAGCGCAACCCUCGUUCUAUGUUGCCAGCACGUAAUGGUGGGAACUCAUGGGAUACUGCCGGGGUCAACUCGGAGGAAGGUGGGGAUGACGUCAAAUCAUCAUGCCCCUUAUGUCUUGGGCUUCACGCAUGCUACAAUGGCCGGUACAAAGGGCUGCAAUACCGUGAGGUGGAGCGAAUCCCAAAAAGCCGGUCCCAGUUCGGAUUGAGGUCUGCAACUCGACCUCAUGAAGUCGGAGUCGCUAGUAAUCGCAGAUCAGCAACGCUGCGGUGAAUACGUUCCCGGGUCUUGUACACACCGCCCGUCAAGUCAUGAAAGUCGGUAACACCUGAAGCCGGUGGCCCAACCCUUGUGGAGGGAGCCGUCGAAGGUGGGAUCGGUAAUUAGGACUAAGUCGUAACAAGGUAGCCGUACCGGAAGGUGCGGCUGGAUCACCUCCUUU